RNAcentral lists this ribosomal RNA (825 nucleotides) under Triticum aestivum (bread wheat). RNAcentral describes it as "partial small subunit ribosomal RNA". Lineage: Eukaryota; Viridiplantae; Streptophyta; Magnoliopsida; Poales; Poaceae. The record is from RNAcentral.
AUGCCACCAAAGUUCUCAAAGCCCACGACACCGGCACCAGCGCCGGUUUCCUGCGUCGCCGCCGCCUCCACAAAGCUUCAGCGGCUGUGCCCUGACUACGAAGACGACAUCGACCACAACCUCCGGUUGACAGAGAAGAACGCCGAGGAGCGGCCGCUACCGGACUACCUGACGAAGGUGCAGCAGGAUCGGGUGAGCGAGUCAGCGCGCGCCUCCCUCGUCGGAUGGAUGGACAAGUUCGUCCGAGACCAUGAUCUGGCCGACGGCACGCUCCACCACGCCGUCGCCUACGUCGACCGGGUCCUGUCUGUGCGAGCCCUGACGACUGACAGCGGCUACGAGCUACGCCUCCUGGGUGCCGCGGCCAUCUUUGUCGCCGCCAAAUACGAGGACCAAAAAGCCGUGUGGAAGCUGAAGGCCGACCAGAUCGCCAGGUACGGCGAGUUCGCCGCGGGCAAAGAGGUGCUCGACAUGGAGUGCGAGAUGGUGGAGGCGCUCGGAUACCAGCUCGGCGGCCCCACGGCGCACACGUUCCUGAGCCACUUCAUGAGGUACGCCGAGGGGGAGGACAAGACCAAGAUCCUGCCAUUGGCGACUCGCCUCGUUGAUCAGUCUCUGCUCAACUACACGUGCCUCCGCAUCUUGCCGUCCCUCGUGGCGGCGUCCGCGAUCUUCCUCGCGAGGCGGACCCUGAAUCCGCCCGACGUCCUCGCGUGGAACAGGGAAUUGACGGAGCUGACGGGCUACAACUGCUCCGACAUGACAGCCUGCGUGCUUAAUAUGUUCUUCUUCUCGCGGUCGCUCAUCUGUAACCCUUCUUCUUGA